RNAcentral lists this ribosomal RNA (157 nucleotides) under Aspergillus itaconicus. Its description in RNAcentral is "5.8 S ribosomal RNA". It matches the Rfam family "5.8S ribosomal RNA". Rfam says of the family: 5.8S ribosomal RNA (5.8S rRNA) is a component of the large subunit of the eukaryotic ribosome. It is transcribed by RNA polymerase I as part of the 45S precursor that also contains 18S and 28S rRNA. Lineage: Eukaryota; Fungi; Ascomycota; Eurotiomycetes; Eurotiales; Aspergillaceae. The record is from RNAcentral.
AAACUUUCAACAACGGAUCUCUUGGUUCCGGCAUCGAUGAAGAACGCAGCGAAAUGCGAUAACUAAUGUGAAUUGCAGAAUUCAGUGAAUCAUCGAGUCUUUGAAAGCACAUUGCGCCCCUUGGUAUUCCGGGGUGCAUGCCUGUCCGAGCGUCAUU